Molecule: small RNA, 29 nt
Filed under: Bombyx mori (domestic silkworm)
Lineage: Eukaryota; Metazoa; Arthropoda; Insecta; Lepidoptera; Bombycidae
Description: ovarian small RNA-37380
Source: RNAcentral
UUCGAGAGGUGGUCCAAGCCUACGUGAGA